AAUCCAGCAGUGCAUCUAACUGCUGCUGCUUUUCUAUUUCCUGGCUAUACAAAUUGUCACUUUAGAGGCCUCUGGGACACAAAGGUCCACAAUGACUGCCUGGAAGAAGCUUCAAUUUGCACAUUAUGACAAAAGGACUAUAGUGGAAAUUGAGUCACUAGCAUGUCUUAAAUCCAGCAGCCAAAAUCCUGGAGGAGCUCAUUCAGGCUAAGAGUGCUGCGUCAUUCACAAUUCUGAUGUCUGCUGAUGUCUUUGCUUUGAUAUCUAAUGUUUAUCACCAACAGAGCUCUGAGCAGCUGUGAUGGUUUAGUACCAUCGCAAUGCAAUUUGCUGAUCAUUGACAAUGUCUAAAAUUAAAUACAACAAUGCUUUAUU
Non-coding RNA from Pantherophis guttatus, 375 nucleotides. NCBI's taxonomy places the organism in Eukaryota, Metazoa, Chordata, Lepidosauria, Squamata, Colubridae. The record is from RefSeq and is a predicted model, not a curated record.